AGAACCUUUAAAUCCAGUCCAGAGAGGCUGGCAAGGGCACGGAUAUAAAUAGGUGGCGUUUGCCCACUUGUGCUUCUUGUCUAGCUGGGACAAGAAGCAUUUUUUUU
Molecule: non-coding RNA, 107 nt
Organism: Thermoactinomyces sp. DSM 45891
Lineage: Bacteria; Bacillati; Bacillota; Bacilli; Caryophanales; Thermoactinomycetaceae
Source: Rfam